This 464-nucleotide ribosomal RNA is filed under the name Vreelandella stevensii. RNAcentral's name for it is "partial 16S ribosomal RNA". It matches the Rfam family "Bacterial small subunit ribosomal RNA", at positions 338 to 795 of the family's 1533-position model. The record is from RNAcentral. Lineage: Bacteria; Pseudomonadati; Pseudomonadota; Gammaproteobacteria; Oceanospirillales; Halomonadaceae.
CCUACGGGAGGCAGCAGUGGGGAAUAUUGGACAAUGGGCGAAAGCCUGAUCCAGCCAUGCCGCGUGUGUGAAGAAGGCCUUCGGGUUGUAAAGCACUUUCAGUGGGGAAGAAAGCCUUGGGGCUAAUACCCUCGAGGAAGGACAUCACCCACAGAAGAAGCACCGGCUAACUCCGUGCCAGCAGCCGCGGUAAUACGGAGGGUGCGAGCGUUAAUCGGAAUUACUGGGCGUAAAGCGCGCGUAGGCGGUCUGAUAAGCCGGUUGUGAAAGCCCCGGGCUCAACCUGGGAACGGCAUCCGGAACUGUCAGGCUAGAGUGCAGGAGAGGAAGGUAGAAUUCCCGGUGUAGCGGUGAAAUGCGUAGAGAUCGGGAGGAAUACCAGUGGCGAAGGCGGCCUUCUGGACUGACACUGACGCUGAGGUGCGAAAGCGUGGGUAGCAAACAGGAUUAAUACCCUAGUAGUC